This 1311-nucleotide long non-coding RNA is filed under the name Bemisia tabaci. Its description in RNAcentral is "lncRNA ENSASIAIIG000393". Lineage: Eukaryota; Metazoa; Arthropoda; Insecta; Hemiptera; Aleyrodidae. The record is from RNAcentral.
AUGAUCUCUUAUAUUCGUAAAAAUCCUUUUGUUCUUAAUUUACAAGAAUUACGAGCACGAAAAUUAUACCGCUGCGAAAAUUAUACAACUUACCCGCUGCGGCCUGGCACCCAUGCUCGAGUGUCUUCGCCAGACUGUGAAGUCCCCGUCUGCGGACUUGACUUUCGUCAAAAUCGGCAACCUACUGAUGAAAACCGUACUGGAACUCCAGAAGCUGCUAUCAGAAUCUGGAAUCGAGGAUAUAUUAGCUAUACUGAAAAAAGGUACGUGCUCCAUGAUAUUUUUAGACUACGUCCCGUCAGAGAAACUCAAGAAGACCUUGACGGAGUGCUGGUUCGCAGCCGAUCUGGCACCUACAUUAUCGGGAGCCACGGCGACCACAUCCAUGCCGUCCACCUCUGCACUUUCCGGAGGAGCACCUGCAGAUGUUACAUUACCAGUCUCCUCCGGGAGUGCUACGGGAAGUGGGUUUCUCGAAAAUCUAUUGGCCGGGACUCCGUCGGCCCCGACUACUGGGCUAAUAUCGCAAUUUAUCUUGGUGUCGGGGCCCGAAAAGUCCACAAGAUUAACGUCCCCGGGGGAAGUUGGGUAUAUGGCCGCGAAAAUAGACAUAUACCCCUUCGCCGAGUGUCUAGCGAGGGGGAAGCAGGACUGGUGGCGGGGGGCCACGAGGCGCGCUCUGUUCCUGUUUCAAAAUCCGAUGGAUCAAGAUUAUCUUCUCCUCAACCAGAUCUUGGAUCGGGCGGGGCAGAGGAUAUCUCAGAUCCCGGACUCCAAAUCGGAGACGUCAUGGCACUCGCCGCCCGUCGGAAUCCCUCAGCAGACAUUCGGCCAACGAAGGGGAUGAAGAUUCUAAAUUUUAUUCUGGCUAACCCAACUUCUCCUGUGGCGCGAGUCUUUGACUUGGCCAAGUGGCUGGAAGGCCCUUGGGCACCAGUGCCCAUAUAUACAAUUGUAAACCGUCGUUUAUUUUCGCUAAGCCGAACCGUAUCCGCUAUUGCAUCCGAAAUAGCUCAAAGGGAACGGGAAAACAACCUCACUAACACACUUUUAUACGAACAACAUCUCAAGACGCAAUAUCUGGACUACUUAUUAAACUACAAAUCCCCUGAUACGCAACUUUUUAUGGCCGCAAAAAACGCCUUCAACCAAUCCUUACCCACGACAACGGAUGAAGAAAAGUUCGAAUUACUACAUCUACAAUUCGUCCUCCAAGACCUGCAAGAGACGAUCUCUGACGGAUUCCACUGCAUUCAACAACAACAGGAAGAACAAGAUCUCCUGGAAUGCGUUAGACUUCUCUUUCUUUAA